GACGAACGCUGGCGGUAUGCUUAACACAUGCAAGUCGAACGAGACGGGAUGGAAGGAGCCUUCGGGUGACGGAAAUCCUAGAAAGUGGCGAACGGGUGAGUAACGCGUGGGUAACCUGCCCUAUGGAAAGGAAUAGCCUCGGGAAACUGGGAGUAAUGCCUUAUAAUAUACAGAAGUCGCAUGGCUUUUGUAUUAAACGCUCCGGUGCCAUAGGAUGGACCCGCGUCCCAUUAGCUAGUUGGUGAGAUAACAGCCCACCAAGGCGACGAUGGGUAACCGGGCUGAGAGGGCGACCGGUCACACUGGAACAGAGACACGGUCCAGACUCCUACGGGAGGCAGCAGUGGGGAAUAUUACGCAAUGGGGGCAACCCUGACGCAGCAAUACCGCGUGAGUGAAGAAGGUUUUCGGAUCGUAAAGCUCUGUUAUUGGGGAAGAAAAAAGACGGUACCCAAGAAGAAAGUCCCGGCUAACUACGUGCCAGCCGCCGCCGUAA
This 496-nucleotide ribosomal RNA is filed under the name uncultured bacterium. Its description in RNAcentral is "partial 16S ribosomal RNA". It matches the Rfam family "Bacterial small subunit ribosomal RNA", at positions 28 to 523 of the family's 1533-position model. The record is from RNAcentral.